AUGAAUGAAGUUUUACGUGCUUUCAUUGGACGAUUUGUGGUAGUUUACUUUGAUGACAUAUUGAUUUAUAGUAGAUCUUUGGAAGAACAUUUGGAACAUUUACGUGCUGUUUUUAUUGCUCUACGUGAUGCACGUUUGUUUGGUAACCUUGGGAAGUGCACCUUUUGCACCGACCGAGUAUCUUUUCUUGGCUAUGUUGUUACUCCACAGGGUAUUGAAGUUGAUAAAGCCAAGAUUGAAGCUAUUGAGAGUUGGCCGCAGCCCAAAACGGUCACACAAGUGAGGAGUUUUCUUGGCCUCGCUGGAUUCUAUAGGCGUUUUGUGAGAGAUUUCAGCACCAUUGCUGCACCUCUCAAUGAGCUUACAAAGAAAGAUGUGCCUUUUCUUUGGGGUACCGCACAGGAAGAAGCCUUCACGGUAUUGAAAGAUAAGUUGACACAUGCUCCUUUACUCCAACUUCCUGAUUUUAAUAAGACUUUUGAGCUUGAAUGUGAUGCUAGUGGAAUUGGAUUAGGAGGUGUGUUAUUACAAGAUGGCAAACCUGUUGAAUACUUUUCUGAAAAAUUGAGUGGGCCUAGUCUGAAUUAUUCUACUUAUGAUAAAGAAUUAUAUGCUCUUGUUCGGACUUUAGAAACAUGGCAACAUUAUUUAUGGCCCAAAGAAUUUGUUAUACAUUCUGAUCAUGAAUCUUUGAAACAUAUUAAAAGUCAAGCUAAACUGAAUCGUAGACAUGCUAAAUGGGUUGAAUUCAUUGAGACUUUCCCUUAUGUCAUUAAACACAAGAAGGGAAAAGAAAAUGUUAUUGCUGAUGCAUUGUCUCGUCGCUAUACUAUGCUUUCGCAACUUGACUUCAAAAUAUUUGGUUUGGAGACCAUCAAAGAUCAAUAUGUGCAUGAUGCUGAUUUUAAAGAUGUAAUGCAGAAUUGUAAAGAAGGAAGAAUGUGGAACAAGUUUGUCGUUAACGAUGGAUUUGUGUUUCGUGCUAACAAGCUAUGCAUUCCAGCUAGCUCCGUUCGUCUUUUGUUGUUGCAGGAGGCGCAUGGAGGAGGAUUAAUGGGACACUUUGGCGUGAAGAAGACGGAGGACGUACUUGCUACACAUUUCUUUUGGCCAAAGAUGAGACGGGAUGUUGAGCGUUUUAUUGCUCGAUGCACUACAUGUCAAAAAGCUAAGUCACGACUCAAUCCUCAUGGUUUAUAUAUGCCUUUGCCUGUACCUAGUGUUCCUUGGGAGGAUAUAUCUAUGGACUUUGUUUUAGGUUUACCUCGAACAAAGAAGGGGAGGGAUAGCAUAUUUGUUGUCGUGGAUAGAUUCUCGAAAAUGGCACACUUUAUACCUUGUCAUAAAAGCGAUGAUGCUGUUAAUGUUGCUGAUUUGUUCUUUCGUGAAAUUAAUCGUGAUACUAAAUUUCUUAGCCACUUUUGGAGAUGUUUAUGGGCUAAGUUGGGGACUAAACUGCUUUUUAGUACUACUUGUCACCCCCAAACUGAUGGACAAACUGAAGUAGUCAAUAGAACGUUGUCUACUAUGCUUAGGGCUGUUUUGAAGAAUAAUAAGAAAAUGCGGGAGGAAUGGUUGCCUCAUAUUGAAUUUGCUUAUAAUCGUUCAUUGCAUUCUACUACUAAGAUGUGCCCUUUUGAAGUUGUGUAUGGUUUCCUACCUCGUGCACCUAUUGAUUUGUUGCCUCUUCCAUCUUCGGAGAAGGUUAAUUUUGAUGCUAAACAACGUGCUGAAUUGAUUUUAAAAAUGCAUGAGUUAACUAAGGAAAACAUUGAGCGUAUGAAUGCUAAAUAUAAACUUGCUGGAGAUAAGGGUAGAAAACAUGUUGUGUUUGCACCUGGAGAUCUUGUUUGGUUACAUUUGCGUAAGGAUAGAUUUCCUGAUUUGCGCAAAUCAAAGUUAAUGCCACGUGCUGAUGGUCCCUUUAAGGUGUUAGAGAAAAUAAAUGAUAAUGCAUAUAAACUGGAGCUGCCUGCAGAUUUUGGGGUUAGUCCCACUUUUAACAUUGCAGAUUUGAAGCCUUAUUUGGGUGAGGAAGAUGAACUUCCGUCGAGGACGACUUCAUUUCAAGAAGGGGAGGAUGAUGAGGACAUCAAUACAAUUGUUACACCCACAGCCCCUGCUGCUAUACAUACUAGACCAAUUACUAGAGCUCGUGCACGCCAACUAAAUUACCAGCCCUUAGGGCAUCGUUUAGACUUUGGGGUUGUGUUUAGAUUAAAAGUUCGCCAUAGCUGCAACUUCGCGUACUUCGUUUGUGUUCAACGACCAGACAAAGUUUCUUGCUUGUUCUUCGUUUGCUCGCAGGAAACAGACCCUCGUGGUCAGGUUGAUCGUGCUCCGGCGUGGUCAAUAACCUCUCGGAGUUGGUUU
Molecule: ribosomal RNA, 2373 nt
Filed under: Triticum aestivum (bread wheat)
Lineage: Eukaryota; Viridiplantae; Streptophyta; Magnoliopsida; Poales; Poaceae
Description: partial small subunit ribosomal RNA
Source: RNAcentral